RNAcentral lists this ribosomal RNA (449 nucleotides) under uncultured bacterium. Its description in RNAcentral is "SSU rRNA". It matches the Rfam family "Bacterial small subunit ribosomal RNA", at positions 26 to 518 of the family's 1533-position model. The record is from RNAcentral.
AGAGCGAACGCUGGCGGCAGGCCUAACACAUGCAAGUCGAGCGCCCGUAGCAAUACGGGAGCGGCAGACGGGAUAGUAACACGUGGGAACGCGCCCUUCGGUUCGGAAUAACUCAGGGAAACUUGAGCUAAUACCGGAUACGCCCUUACGGGGAAAGAUUUAUUGCCGAAGGAACGGCCCGCGUCCGAUUAGCUAGUUGGUGAGGUAAUGGCUCACCAAGGCGACGAUCGGUAGCUGGUCUGAGAGGAUGACCAGCAUCACUGGGACUGAGACACGGCCCAGGACUCCUACGGGAGGCAGCAGUGGGGAAUAUUGGACAAUGGGCGCAAGCCUGAUCCAGCCAUGCCGCGUGGAUGAUGAAGGCCUUAGGGUUGUAAAGUCCUUUUAACGGGGAAGAUAAUGACGGUACCCGUAGAAUAAGCCCCGGCUAACUUCGUGCCAGCAGCCGC